GCAAGGUUUGCAAUGUCUUUUCCUGCAACUGCCACCGCUGCAGCAGUCCCAUCUGUGCGGCCGCCUCCAGCUGGACACCCCCAGGGCCUCCGGGACAGAGAUUACGCCCCUAAACAACGCUGGAUCCUUGGGCCAGCUCCCUUUUCCAGGGGCCUUCAAAGCGUGGAAACGUACGCACCAAUGGAUCCACACGCACAGGAUGCCAUCGGCUUUCCCUCUCGCCAGCCCUGUCUUGGUCUCAUCUCUCCUUGUCUCUGAUUCUCUUUCUCUGUGGGCGUACCUGUCUUCCUACACCGGCCCACCUCUCUUUUUUCAACAGACUGCCUUCCUCCGUGCUACGUGGGGAGACGCUACCAAGCAGCAGGGCCGCUGGCUUAGCUGUGCAGGGUGCAGGCACGCAGAAGCCUUCCUCACCAGCUAGAGCACAGAAGUCCCUGGAAGGACUCAGAGCGUCCUGGUUUUCUGCGUGCUCAGUCCUCACGGCAGCACUUCGGCCAGGAGACGGGCGCUGGGGUUGGUCAGACCUGGGCCAGGUGCCCAUCCCCAUGGCUGGGGGGUCGUGGGGGUCAUUUGGAGACCAACAGCCCUAUGUUCACCAUGAAGAGUGAGACAGGUGCACCCCAAGCAGGAUAGGGUGCUGUGAGCAGUACAAGGGGGAUGGGGAAAGAUGCUGGACCUCUUCAAUUACAACAGUAAAAAAAUCAGGAUAAAGCCCUGUGAUCUUCAAAAGAAUCGGGACACAGUGCACGGGAGAAAGGCAGGCUGAGAGGCAGUGAACGGUACAUCAUAUAUUGUAAUACGAAAUGGAUAUUGACUGCAGCUGAGGUGCCUAUCCACAUGUAUUGACCUCAGAGAAAGGUCAGAGAAAGGUGAAUGCAGAGAUCGGAGGGAGCGAGGAAGGGUCUGUUUGCGACAGAAGGCGACCAUCACAACUUCUUUGCAAAAACGGACAGGAAAUUUCUGUGACUCGCACUCUCCCAUCACUGCCGUCGAUCAUUAGCAUCGUUACAGCUGAGUUUCGGUGAGUUGUGCCUCGGGGCCGGGUACUGCGGUAAGCGUCUUACAGAUCUUACCUCGAGUAACUCUCAUAACCCUAAGAGGUCAUAUAGUGGAUAACUUGGCCAUCUAUCCAAUAUUCAUUCUCCAUUUCUCCCUUGAUGGCCGAGCCCCAUUUUGGUCACUUAUCACCCCCUCCACCACAUGGACUAAAACUGGGCUAUGAAUCUUCAGGGGCCUAAGCUCCCAAUCAUGCUGGGUCCAGAUGCUUCCCUAGAGACUGGUUAUACACAGGCAUUUGAUACAAUUCUGGCCAAGGAGAUGUGAGCAUAAGUCUGUUGAGGGGCUUUGGGGAAAGGUCUCCUUGUUCCUGAGAGACACAAAAGAGAAGAGAAGGUGUCUUUCCUUCCAGCAUUACGCCCACUGGUUCCGGUGAUGGGAAUUGCUGUAGCCAUCCCGAAAAUGUGAGAGAGACUCUAACUGAGGAAGAGACUGAUGGACACCUCAGGGAAGUGGAGCCAGAUCAGGACGUGUCACCUCUGGGACCACCUACCUCUGGACUCCAGAUUAGGUGGGAUAACACACUUCCAUACUACUGAAGCCACUGCAAGUUGAGUUUCCUGUCAUAUGCAACCCCGGGCACCUCAACUGGUACAGGUAGGGGCCAUAUUAUCCCCCUUUUACGCAGGAGAGAUCUGGGCUUAGGGAUGUUAAGUGUUACAUGAGGCAACUAGUAUGGUCUAACUCCACAAUCUGAGUUCUUAACUGCUCCCCUGCAACCUUCCCAGGCAUGCUUCCCAUUUGAGGAUAACACCAUAAUCUAGUGGAAACUGGGCCCUGCAAAUGAAAUCAACCAGGACUGGCACUGAUCCCCUCUAUCUGACCUUAAAACUCCUUUCUGUAAGCACGGUAUAAGAGACACCCUCCCAAUACCUACUCCCUUCAGAAGCCCUGGGUUUCAAAACUGUUUUACUGAAUAAUAAGACAUUUCGCCCUGCCUUAACAUGUGAACUGCCGGAGAACUUGGUUAUGUUUCCUCAACACCCAGAGAGGCAGUUUAUCAAAAGGCUUCCGCUCAAGAAACAUCCCAUGUGCGUUCAAUUCUCCUCGUCCAACCUACUCUUUCUUCCUCGCUGAAACAAUCCUUUUCAUUCUCCAAUGUGCGGCAAAAGCGACAGAAUUAAAGGGCGUUUCCUCCACUCUCCUUGACCAUGACCGCCAUCUUGGAUCUGCCUUCCCCACCAAUAAACUACCAUGAUGAACCUCCUGUAAGAGUAUUCAACACACUGGAUUCCUUCAGUAAUCCUCCACUGAGUUCCUGCUAGCUUUUUGCUGUAUGUGUUUCUCUCCUUUAAGACAGGAACUGUAUUUCAUUUAUUUAUGUAAUCCUAGGACCCAUCACGGUACCUGACACAUGGGAGCAAGCACAGAAUUUGCUGAUAAUUAUAGAUCUCAGAAAAAAAGAAAGGGGAAAAAAAGCCAACAGACAGGUUACGACACAGUUAAACUACGGGAAGCCAAAAGAAAGUGAAGAAUCACACGCUCUAAGCUCCAUCUUGCCUUCGUUCUUUGCGGUGUCCAGGGGCACUAGCGAGAGGCACGGUAGGGGAGUCACUGAAGAGUCCAAUCCACCGAGGGCCCACAUUCAACAAAAAGACAAAGACCUUUGGACUCAGACCGAAUUAUACCACAGACUUUCCAUGGUUCUCCCACUUGUAGAUGGCAGACUGUGGGACGUCUUGGCCUCCAUAACUGUGUGAGCCAAUUCCUACAAAAGAGACAUCGCAGCGUGGCUACUAAAUAAUACUGAUGGGAGACAAAGUAGAGAAUGGUCAUUUCUUCCUGGAAGGCUAAGGCUCUCCCCCUCCUCCUCCUCCUCUUCCACCAUGACCACCACUACAAGGACACCUGCGUAUCUCCACAGGGACCAUUCUGGAUGUCUCUAUUCCCAGCACCCUGCUCAGUGUCUGGUACAUAGUAGGUGUUCAAUCAACUGAUGUUAGGUAAGCUGUUAAAGGUAUGAAGAGGUACCUAGGACACCUUAGCAGGAAUGAACGCGAGACAAGUGUUCAGGGGACGGAAUGACCUCACCUUCUCUGAGCCUCCGUGUCCUCAGAAAAAAUGAACUAAACCCAUCACGCAAGUGGCUUUUGUUAAGUUUCAAGAUUCUAGUAAUAUGAGCUUCACUCCUGUUCAUGACCUGCUUCAAGCAAGUUAUGAAGCCACUUCAGAGUCCAAGAAAGGGUGGAUUUUGCUGCUGAGCCAGAGCUUCCUGACAGCCAGGCUCAUCUGAGUACACAGUAGCCCCAUCCCCGUCCCCCCAGGAUAGCAACUAAGCGGUUCACCAGUGGCAGUCUCAGGAAAUCAGGCUGCUAAUUUAAGGCGAUGGCCUGAAUCUUCAUUAUUUGCACCCAAAAACCAUGAGUCAGGUCUCCUCCUGUUUGCCAAAUGCUACAACCCAUUCGCAUUUGGGGCUAUCGUCAUCUGGAGAGUAUUCCAAGGGCUUCAGCUGGAGCAAAAGAGCCCCCCAGGGAAAACUCUGCCCUGUACCUCACCAACACUGACCCUCCCUGCAGCCGCGCAAGGCCGGCCAGCAGCAAAGCAGCCAGGGCCACAGGGAAGCGCAGUCAGAGCCACACAGGGAACAGACAUAAGGCUGACUUUAAUUGCAGGGUCAUAGGAGGAUUUUAUCUAAUUGCCACAACUACAAAAGAAGAGGUUAAGUCCCUUGAAGACACUCACCAUUUCCAAGAGGGAGGCCCACUUGAUUUACGUAACCACCAGUAAACAUGCAGAAAAACAUGCACUUAAGAGACUUAAUGUUUCCUGACAGCAAUGAAUUGGCGUUCGCUGGGACACUGUGCACAUUUCCCAGGAAGAAGUCCUGUCGCGAGGAUCAUGAAACGGUUCCAGACUGCACCAGCUGACCGAUGAAAGCUUGGCUCCAGUUUCUCAAGGACAAGGCAAUGGCCAAGAUUGAGCGCCCCGCUGUCUGGGCCACUUCGCUCCCUCUAUUCCCCACACGGAUGACUCCAAACACCCGGUGGGUUCACCGCCAAAGAAAAUGACAGCUCUUCUGAUCAACAGCUCUGGUGACAGUAAUCAGGGGAGGGCAGUGAGCUAGUCUCGGGGUGCGAAGUGAUCGCCUGUUUUCAGGAUAAUCAAUAAGACACUUAUCUUGCAAGAUUCGUGCAAGUUUGGAAUCAAUUAUGAAUGGGAUGAUGGUAAAACUCCAGGAGAGACUUGCUGGAUUUUUAAAAAAUUCUCAUCAGAGUCAGGCUCCAUUUCGUGGGUUUCUCUGAAAUGUUAUAUACAUGUAAAAAUGAAUACUCACUCACUCUACUAUGCCAUGAUCAAAU
Molecule: long non-coding RNA, 4355 nt
Organism: Physeter macrocephalus (sperm whale)
Lineage: Eukaryota; Metazoa; Chordata; Mammalia; Artiodactyla; Physeteridae
Exons: 7
Source: RefSeq, a predicted model, not a curated record